RNAcentral lists this ribosomal RNA (407 nucleotides) under uncultured bacterium. RNAcentral describes it as "partial 16S ribosomal RNA". It matches the Rfam family "Bacterial small subunit ribosomal RNA", at positions 30 to 526 of the family's 1533-position model. The record is from RNAcentral.
AUUGAACGCUGGCGGCAGGCCUAACACAUGCAAGUCGAGCGGAGCGGCGGACGGGUGAGUAAUGCCUAGGAAUCUGCCUGGUAGUGCGGGAUAACGUUCGGUAACGGGCGCUAAUACUGCAUACUAACUGACGAGCCUAGGUCGGAUUAGCUAGUUGGUGGGGUAAAGGCCAACCACGGCGACGAUCCGUAACUGGUCUGAGAGGAUGAUCAGUCACCAUGGAACUGAGACACGAUCCAGACUCCUACGAGAGGCAGCAGUGGGGAAUAUUGGACAAUGGGCGAAAGCCUGAUCCAGCCAUGCAGCGUGUGUGAAGAAGGUCUUCGGAUUGUAAAGCACUUUAAGUUGGGAGGCGUUACCAACAGAAUAAGCACCGGCUGACUUCGUGCCAGCAGCCGCGGUAAUAC